AGUUGGUAAGGUAAUGGCUUACCAAGGCUAUGACGGGUAGGGGACCUGAGAGGGUGGCCCCCCACAAUGGAACUGAAGCACGGUCCAUACACCUACGGGUGGCAGCAGUAGGGAAUAUUAGUAAUGGGCGAAAGCCUGAACUAGCAACGCUGCGUGUGCGAAGAAGGCCUUCGGGUUGUAAAGCACUUUUAGAGAGGAUGAGGAAGGACGGUACUCUCAGAAUAAGUCUCGGCUAACUACGUGCCAGCAGCCGCGGUAACACGUAGGAGGCGAACGUUAUCCGGAUUUACUGGGCGUAAAGCGCGUGUAGGUGGUUUGGUAAGUAGGGCGUGAAAGCUCCCGGCUCAACUGGGAGAGGCCGUUCUAAACUGCCAAGCUAGAGGAUGGUAGAGGGAGGUGGAAUUCCGGGUGUAGCGGUGGAAUGCGCAGAUAUCCGGAGGAACACCAGUGGCGAAGGCGGCCUCCUGGGCCACUCCUGACACUCAGACGCGAAAGCUAGGGUAGCAAACGGGAUUAGAGACCCCGGUAGUCCUAGCCCUAAACGAUGUAGACUUGGCGUCGGUGGUUUAAACGCCAUCGGUGUCGCAGCUAACGC
This 595-nucleotide ribosomal RNA is filed under the name uncultured bacterium. RNAcentral's name for it is "bacterial SSU rRNA". It matches the Rfam family "Bacterial small subunit ribosomal RNA", at positions 247 to 858 of the family's 1533-position model. The record is from RNAcentral.